GACGAACGCUGGCGGCGUGCUUAACACAUGCAAGUCGAACGGAAAGGCCCUGCUUUUGUGGGGUGCUCGAGUGGCGAACGGGUGAGUAACACGUGAGUAACCUGCCCUUGACUUUGGGAUAACUUCAGGAAACUGGGGCUAAUACCGGAUAGGAGCUCCUGCUGCAUGGUGGGGGUUGGAAAGUUUCGGCGGUUGGGGAUGGACUCGCGGCUUAUCAGCUUGUUGGUGGGGUAGUGGCUUACCAAGGCUUUGACGGGUAGCCGGCCUGAGAGGGUGACCGGCCACAUUGGGACUGAGAUACGGCCCAGACUCCUACGGGAGGCAGCAGUGGGGAAUAUUGCACAAUGGGCGGAAGCCUGAUGCAGCAACGCCGCGUGUGGGAUGACGGCCUUCGGGUUGUAAACCGCUUUCGCCUGCGACGAAGCGUGAGUGACGGUAAUGGGUAAAGAAGCACCGGCUAACUACGUG
RNAcentral lists this ribosomal RNA (468 nucleotides) under uncultured bacterium. RNAcentral's name for it is "partial 16S ribosomal RNA". It matches the Rfam family "Bacterial small subunit ribosomal RNA", at positions 28 to 507 of the family's 1533-position model. The record is from RNAcentral.